RNAcentral lists this transfer RNA (77 nucleotides) under Bacillota bacterium. RNAcentral's name for it is "Firmicutes bacterium (hot springs metagenome) tRNA-Arg". It matches the Rfam family "tRNA". From Rfam's summary of the family: Transfer RNA (tRNA) molecules are approximately 80 nucleotides in length. Their secondary structure includes four short double-helical elements and three loops (D, anti-codon, and T loops). Lineage: Bacteria; Bacillati; Bacillota. RNAcentral also lists the same sequence under 3 other names. The record is from RNAcentral.
GCGCCCGUAGCUCAGUUGGAUAGAGCGGCUGCCUUCUAAGCAGCGGGUCGCAGGUUCGAAUCCUGCCGGGCGUGCCA